UUUUUGGAUAGAAAGAAGCAUCACCACAACAUUUUAUUCAAAUGGUUCCACUAGACCAUGAAUUCUUGUUUCAGCUAACAUUGAUGUGACAUUUGUUAUAUAUCAACACCAGUUUAGGGAUUGAACCCUUGUUUACAAGUGGGGAAAAAAAAUGUAAAAGAAACUCAACAUUGCCAGUGUCAAAAAUGUCCCAGUAAUUUGACUACACAAGUGAAGUUCGCAACACCACCCCUUCAUGGCAAAACCUAUGUUUUUGAGCAAUUAUUACUGUGGAUAAAUGAUUUGGCAUUUACGACGAAGCUGCUUUCUUGCAGCAAUUUUCAAGCCAAUCCAUUGUAACACUUUUUGGCCUCUCAAGUGGCAACCCAAGAGCUCGGUCCCAUAUUAGCUGAGAGCAAAUACCAAUACUUCUUGAUACACCAAAAAGAACAGUGAAAUACCUAGCUUCAGUUAAACCAUAAUAGUUCAGCAAUACCCCACUGUGAGCAUCAACAUUGGGCCAGGGGUUUUUAACCUUGCCUAGCUCAGUAAGGAUUGGAGGCACAACUUCAUACAGCUUAGAAACCAGCUGGAACAGUGGAUCAUUAGGUAAGUGCUUCAAUGCAAACUCCCUUUGGCAUGUGUAUCUUGGAUCAGUUUUACGUAAAACUCCAUGACCAAAUCCAGGAACAACCUUUCCACUAUUUAAUGUUUUCCAGACGUAGUCUUUCAGUUGUUCUGUGGUUAUAUUCUCCCCACACUCCUCCACUACAGAUUUAAUCCAAAGCAAAACUUCCUGAUUAGCCAAGCCAUGGAGUGGUCCAGCCAAACCAUUCAAUGCAGCUGCAAAUGAAAGAUAAGGAUCUGAAAGUGCACUAGCAACCAGAUGGCCGGUAUGAGCACUGACAUUGCCACCUUCAUGAUCACUAUGGAUUGUAACAUAAAGCCUCAUAAGCUCUUGCAUCUGGGGGCUAUCAAAUCCCAACAUAUGUGAAAAAUUUCCACCAUAAUCCAGAGAGUCAUCCAGGGGAAUAAUUUUCCCAUCUUUGUAUAUCCUCCGAUAAACAUAAGAAGCUACUAUUGGCAGACGGGCAAUCAGAUUGAGAGAGUCCUCAUACGUUGGCUCCCAGUACUUUGAUUUGGGAAUCCCUUUGUCAUAUGCUUUCUGAAAUUCACUUUGCGCCUGAAGGGCCAUAACACCAGAUCCAAACUGAGUCAUUGGAUGAGCUGAGACAGGUAAAGCAUCAAUGGCCUUAUACACAUAAUCUGGAACAGUGGCACGAUCACGUAAUUCCUUUGACAAGGCAUCAACCUGCUCUUUGCUUGGUACCUUUCCAGUUAGAAGAAGCCAAAGAAGACCCUCAGGUAAAGGUUCUCCACCAGGCUUUGCACCUGGUAACAAUUUUUGGCAUUCAGGAAUUGACAGCCCCCUAAAGCGAAUUCCCUCAUCUGGAUCAAGUAAAGAGGUUUCCCACAACAAUCCUGUCAUUCCUCUCAUCCCACCAAGUACCAUGUCAACUGUAAUAUUUCCCAAUUGAACUUUUCCAUGUUCUGUCUUGAUUUUAUUGAGGCGCUCCUGUUGCUCUGGGAUCAAUUCCUUUAGCUGAGAAUGAAGGUCCUAAAUGUCCAAAAGAAAGAAAGAAAAACUAUAAAACAGCCAUUAACGGAACAUAAGAAAACAAAUCCAUACACCAGUAAAUCUCAAUCAAUAAAAACUCUGAAAAUCUGACAAAAAUAUAUAACCCAGAGCAUUUUUAUUCACUAUACGGAAAAAUCAUUAUAUGUACCAAUGUACACGUCUUCUCCCAACGUGACUACAUGCAGCAUGCGUUAUACUUCCUGUACCAUCUAGCGCACAGCAAAGACAACGUUCUAAAUCUUUCUAAAUUCAAACAUGUCAAGGUAAUAUUUUUUAAGUAGGUGGUAAAUGCUACAUAAUUAUUUAUACAAUCACACAUCCCCAUGUGCAUGGAUAGAUAAAGGAGGCGAAAGAGAGACACAGAGAUGAUUACAAGAUGGGAAGAGCUCUGCAUCUGGAGCCAUCUAACGGAAUAGCUGAGAUUAGACUGUUGAACAGCACAAGAACGAAGUCGCGAAAACAGAGAAACGCUUCUAAAGAACACCAUCGCUUACUUACUGACACUACAAUCACCAAAAACCAUCAAAUAUGAAUUCAAACAAAGAGACACAUAUUACAUGAUCAAAUUCAGCAGUUCGACGAGAAAAGGUGUUAAAUUGGAUCUCAAUGAGCAGCGACUGAAAGCCGAAAUGGAAAGCAACAGAAGGGAAACUAAAAUUGGAGGGAAAAGAAGAAGGUACCGAGUCAGAGGAGCGAUGCUAACAAGAGAAACAAGGGGAGAAAGAGAUGUGAUGAAUGAGAAGUGUACAUACAGGAAUAAAAAAUGCU
RNAcentral lists this unclassified non-coding RNA (2386 nucleotides) under Hevea brasiliensis (rubber tree). The record is from RNAcentral. Lineage: Eukaryota; Viridiplantae; Streptophyta; Magnoliopsida; Malpighiales; Euphorbiaceae.